RNAcentral lists this ribosomal RNA (497 nucleotides) under uncultured bacterium. Its description in RNAcentral is "partial 16S ribosomal RNA". It matches the Rfam family "Bacterial small subunit ribosomal RNA", at positions 28 to 507 of the family's 1533-position model. The record is from RNAcentral.
GAUGAACGCUGGCGGCGUGCCUAAUACAUGCAAGUCGAGCGAACAGACGAGGAGCUUGCUCCUCUGACGUUAGCGGCGGACGGGUGAGUAACACGUGGAUAACCUACCUAUAAGACUGGGAUAACUUCGGGAAACCGGAGCUAAUACCGGAUAAUAUAUUGAACCGCAUGGUUCAAUAGUGAAAGACGGUUUUGCUGUCACUUAUAGAUGGAUCCGCGCCGCAUUAGCUAGUUGGUAAGGUAACGGCUUACCAAGGCAACGAUGCGUAGCCGACCUGAGAGGGUGAUCGGCCACACUGGAACUGAGACACGGUCCAGAGUCCUACGGGAGGCAGCAGUAGGGAAUCUGCCGCAAUGGGCGAAAGCCUGACGGAGCAACGCCGCGUGAGUGAUGAAGGUCUUCGGAUCGUAAAACUCUGUUAUGAGGGAAGAACAAAUGUGUAAGUAACUAUGCACGUCUUGACGGUACCUAAUCAGAAAGCCACGGCUAACUACGUG